This 368-nucleotide ribosomal RNA is filed under the name uncultured organism. RNAcentral's name for it is "bacterial SSU rRNA". It matches the Rfam family "Bacterial small subunit ribosomal RNA", at positions 526 to 896 of the family's 1533-position model. The record is from RNAcentral.
CGGAGGAUCCGAGCGUUAUCCGGAUUUAUUGAGUUUAAAGGGUGCGUAGGCGGCCUGUUAAGUCAGGGGUGAAAGACGGUAGCUCAACUAUCGCAGUGCCCUUGAUACUGAUGGGCUUGAAUGUACUAGAGGUAGGCGGAAUGUGACAAGUAGCGGUGAAAUGCAUAGAUAUGUCACAGAACACCAAUUGCGAAGGCAGCUUACUAUGGUAUUAUUGACGCUGAGGCACGAAAGCGUGGGGAUCAAACAGGAUUAGAUACCCUGGUAGUCCACGCCCUAAACGAUGAAUACUCGAUGUUAGCGAUAUACAGUUAGCGUCAAAGCGAAAGCGUUAAGUAUUCCACCUGGGGAGUACGCCCGCAAGGGUG